This 422-nucleotide ribosomal RNA is filed under the name uncultured prokaryote. Its description in RNAcentral is "bacterial SSU rRNA". It matches the Rfam family "Bacterial small subunit ribosomal RNA", at positions 358 to 796 of the family's 1533-position model. The record is from RNAcentral.
GGAAUCUUGCACAAUGGACGAAAGUCUGAUGCAGCGACGCCGCGUGGGGGAUGAAGGCCCUAGGGUCGUAAACCCCUUUCAGUGGGGACGAAAAUGACGGUACCCACAGAAGAAGGUCCGGCCAACUACGUGCCAGCAGCCGCAGUAAGACGUAGGGACCGAGCGAUGUCCGGAAUUAUUGGGCGUAAAGAGCUCGUAGGCGGUUGCGUAAGUCGGAUGUGAAAACUCAGGGCUCAACCCUGAGACGCCAUCCGAUAGAGCGGUGAGUCGAAUCCAGUAGGGGAGUGUGGAAUUCCUGGUGUAGCGGUGAAAUGCGCAGAUAUCAGGAGGAACACCUAUGGCGAAGGCAGCACUCUGGGCUGGUAUUGACGCUGAGGAGCGAAAGCAUGGGUAGCAAACAGGAUUAGAUACCCCCGUAGUCC